UUCGCUGCUCAGACCAAGUGUAGUUUCUGUUCUAUUCUGCUAGUUUCUGUUCUUAUCAGCUUUAAUAUCUGAUAUGUCUUUUACUUAAGGACCCUAUAUUAAACUGAUUUUUGGAGCAGGGAGUUGGCAUCGGAGCUUGCUCCAUCCACUCUAUGCAUUAUCCUGGUAUUGCACUGUUCCCAGGAAUGGAAGAGAAAAA
Rhincodon typus (whale shark) is the source of this 199-nucleotide small nuclear RNA. RefSeq annotates it as U2 spliceosomal RNA. NCBI's taxonomy places the organism in Eukaryota, Metazoa, Chordata, Chondrichthyes, Orectolobiformes, Rhincodontidae. The record is from RefSeq and is a predicted model, not a curated record. The transcript has a single exon.